This 311-nucleotide ribosomal RNA is filed under the name uncultured bacterium. Its description in RNAcentral is "bacterial SSU rRNA". It matches the Rfam family "Bacterial small subunit ribosomal RNA", at positions 28 to 334 of the family's 1533-position model. The record is from RNAcentral.
GACGAACGCUGGCGGCGCGCCUAACACAUGCAAGUCGAACGAGCGAGAGAGAGCUUGCUUUCUCGAGCGAGUGGCGAACGGGUGAGUAACGCGUGAGGAACCUGCCUCGAAGAGGGGGACAACAGUUGGAGACGACUGCUAAUACCGCAUAAGCCCACAGCUCGGCAUCGAGCAGAGGGAAAAGGAGUGAUCCGCUUUGAGAUGGCCUCGCGUCCGAUUAGCUGGUUGGUGAGGUAACGGCCCACCAAGGCAACAAUCGGUAGCUGGACUGAGAGGUUGAACGGCCACAUUGGGACUGAGACACGGCCCAG